This 402-nucleotide ribosomal RNA is filed under the name uncultured bacterium. RNAcentral describes it as "bacterial SSU rRNA". It matches the Rfam family "Bacterial small subunit ribosomal RNA", at positions 508 to 908 of the family's 1533-position model. The record is from RNAcentral.
UCAGCAGCCGCGGUAAUACGUAGGGUGCGAGCGUUAAUCGGAAUUACUGGGCGUAAAGCGUGCGCAGGCGGUUUUGUAAGUCGGAUGUGAAAUCCCCGGGCUCAACCUGGGAACUGCGUUCGAAACUGCAAGGCUAGAGUGUGUCAGAGGGGGGUAGAAUUCCACGUGUAGCAGUGAAAUGCGUAGAGAUGUGGAGGAAUACCAAUGGCGAAGGCAGCCCCCUGGGAUAACACUGACGCUCAUGCACGAAAGCGUGGGGAGCAAACAGGAUUAGAUACCCUGGUAGUCCACGCCCUAAACGAUGUCAACUAGUUGUUGGUAGAGUAAAAUCUAUGAGUAACGUAGCUAACGCGUGAAGUUGACCGCCUGGGGAGUACGGUCGCAAGAUUAAAACUCAAAGGA